CCCUGACGCAGCAACGCCGCGUGGGUGAUGAAGGUCUUCGGAUUGUAAAGCCCUGUUUUCUGGGACGAUAAUGACGGUACUAGAGGAGGAAGCCACGGCUAACUACGUGCCAGCAGCCGCGGUAAUACGUAGGUGGCGAGCGUUGUCCGGAUUUACUGGGCGUAAAGGGUGCGUAGGCGGAUGUUUAAGUGGGAUGUGAAAUCCCCGGGCUUAACCUGGGGGCUGCAUUCCAAACUGGAUAUCUAGAGUGCAGGAGAGGAAAGCGGAAUUCCUAGUGUAGCGGUGAAAUGCGUAGAGAUUAGGAAGAACACCAGUGGCGAAGGCGGCUUUCUGGACUGUAACUGACGCUGAGGCACGAAAGCGUGGGUAGCAAACAGGAUUAGAUACCCUGGUAGUCCACGCCGUAAACGAUGGAUACUAGGUGUAGGGGGUAUCAACUCCCCCUGUGCCGCAGUUAACACAAUAAGUAUCCCGCCUGGGGAGUACGGUCGCAAGAUUAAAACUCAAAGGAAUUGACGGGGGCCCGCACAAGCAGCGGAGCAUGUGGUUUAAUUCGAAGCAACGCGAAGAACCUUACCUGGACUUGACAUCCCUUGCAUAGCCUAGAGAUAGGUGAAGCCCUUCGGGGCAAGGAGACAGGUGGUGCAUGGUUGUCGUCAGCU
RNAcentral lists this ribosomal RNA (662 nucleotides) under Clostridium botulinum. RNAcentral describes it as "bacterial SSU rRNA". It matches the Rfam family "Bacterial small subunit ribosomal RNA", at positions 381 to 1060 of the family's 1533-position model. The record is from RNAcentral. Lineage: Bacteria; Bacillati; Bacillota; Clostridia; Eubacteriales; Clostridiaceae.